RNAcentral lists this non-coding RNA (24 nucleotides) under Arabidopsis thaliana (thale cress). The record is from RNAcentral. Lineage: Eukaryota; Viridiplantae; Streptophyta; Magnoliopsida; Brassicales; Brassicaceae.
GAAUAUCUGAAAGUUCAAGUGCCU